GCGGGCAUAGCUCAGUUGGUUAGAGCAUCAGAUUGUGAUUCUGAGGGUCGUGGGUUCGAGCCCCAUUGCUCGCC
Molecule: transfer RNA, 74 nt
Filed under: Bacteroidota bacterium
Lineage: Bacteria; Pseudomonadati; Bacteroidota
Also listed under: 2 other names
Description: Bacteroidetes bacterium (activated sludge metagenome) tRNA-His
Rfam family: tRNA
About the family: Transfer RNA (tRNA) molecules are approximately 80 nucleotides in length. Their secondary structure includes four short double-helical elements and three loops (D, anti-codon, and T loops).
Source: RNAcentral